RNAcentral lists this ribosomal RNA (254 nucleotides) under uncultured bacterium. Its description in RNAcentral is "partial 16S ribosomal RNA". It matches the Rfam family "Bacterial small subunit ribosomal RNA", at positions 524 to 776 of the family's 1533-position model. The record is from RNAcentral.
UACAGAGACCCCAAGCAUUAUCCGGAUUUAUUGGGCGUAAAGCGUUCGUAGGCGGUUUCGUAAGUCAUCUGUUAAAUCUUCAUGCUUAACAUGGAGGCUGCGGGUGAUACUGUGAGACUAGAGUAUGGGAGAGGUAAGCGGAAUGCCCGGUGUAGCGGUAAAAUGCGUUAAUAUCGGGUAGAACACCAAAUGCGAAGGCAGCUUACUGGAACAUUACUGACGCUCAGUGAACGAAAGCGUGGGUAGCGAAAGGG